This 407-nucleotide ribosomal RNA is filed under the name uncultured eukaryote. Its description in RNAcentral is "SSU rRNA". It matches the Rfam family "Eukaryotic small subunit ribosomal RNA", at positions 570 to 990 of the family's 1831-position model. The record is from RNAcentral.
GCACCCGCGGUAAUUCCAGCUCCAAUAGCGUAUAUUAAAGUUGUUGCAGUUAAAAAGCUCGUAGUUGGAUUUCUGGGAGGGUGCCGAUGUCCACUUAACGUGUGCGCAGCGGCGCCCUCUCAUCCUUCUGUUAGCGUCUCUUGGCAUUCAUUUGCUGGUGGCGGGCUCAGAUAUUUACCUUGAGAAAAUUAGAGUGUUUCAGGCAGGCUAGGCCGGAAUACAUUAGCAUGGAAUAAUGGAAUAGGACUACGGUCUCUUUGUUGGUUUGAGGGACUGCAGUAAUGAUUAAUAGGGAUAGUUGGGGGCAUUAGUACUUAACUGUCAGAGGUGGAAUUCUCAGAUUUGUUAAAGACUGACUUAUGCGAAAGCAUCUGCCAAGGAUGUUUUCAUUGAUCAAGAACGAAAGU